This 459-nucleotide ribosomal RNA is filed under the name uncultured Anaerolineaceae bacterium. RNAcentral describes it as "bacterial SSU rRNA". It matches the Rfam family "Bacterial small subunit ribosomal RNA", at positions 910 to 1382 of the family's 1533-position model. Lineage: Bacteria; Bacillati; Chloroflexota; Anaerolineae; Anaerolineales; Anaerolineaceae. The record is from RNAcentral.
UUGACGGGCCCCGCACAAGCAGCGGAGCGUGUGGUUUAAUUCGAUGCUACACGAAGAACCUUACCAGGGUUUGACAUACAAGUAGUAGGGAAAGGAAACUGGACCGACCCUUCGGGAGCUUGAACAGGUGCUGCAUGGCUGUCGUCAGCUCGUGUCGUGAGAUGUUCGGUUAAGUCCGCUAACGAGCGCAACCCUCGCUGUGUGUUACAAGUGUCACACGGAACUGCCGGUCAUAAACCGGAGGAAGGUGGGGAUGACGUCAAGUCAGCAUGGCCUUUAUAUCCUGGGCUACACACACGCUACAAUGGGAAGGGACAAUAGGUUGCGAAACCGCGAGGUGGAGCCAAUCCAGCAAAACUUCCCUCAGUUCAGAUUGCAGGCUGCAACUCGCCUGCAUGAAGUUGGAGUUGCUAGUAAACGCAGGUCAGCCAUACUGCGUUGAAUACGUUCCCGGGGCUU